GGGGCUGAUUCUGGAUUCGACGGGAUUUGCGAAACCCAAGGUGCAUGCCGAGGGGCGGUUGGCCUCGUAAAAAGCCGCAAAAAAUAGUCGCAAACGACGAAAACUACGCUUUAGCAGCUUAAUAACCUGCUUAGAGCCCUCUCUCCCUAGCCUCCGCUCUUAGGACGGGGAUCAAGAGAGGUCAAACCCAAAAGAGAUCGCGUGGAAGCCCUGCCUGGGGUUGAAGCGUUAAAACUUAAUCAGGCUAGUUUGUUAGUGGCGUGUCCGUCCGCAG
RNAcentral lists this transfer-messenger RNA (274 nucleotides) under Escherichia coli. RNAcentral's name for it is "partial transfer-messenger RNA". It matches the Rfam family "transfer-messenger RNA", at positions 1 to 280 of the family's 374-position model. Rfam says of the family: Bacterial tmRNA, also known as 10Sa RNA or SsrA, is named for its dual tRNA and mRNA-like properties. RNAcentral also lists the same sequence under 1 other name. The record is from RNAcentral. Lineage: Bacteria; Pseudomonadati; Pseudomonadota; Gammaproteobacteria; Enterobacterales; Enterobacteriaceae.